This 200-nucleotide unclassified non-coding RNA is filed under the name Hevea brasiliensis (rubber tree). Lineage: Eukaryota; Viridiplantae; Streptophyta; Magnoliopsida; Malpighiales; Euphorbiaceae. The record is from RNAcentral.
CUCUUCUUCACCUCCUCAGUAGUGGCUUCACCUUCCUCUCCUUCUUUCUUGGCAGCUGCAAUUUUCUUCUUGCGCCCAAUGUCAACCCCAUAGUGCUGAAGAUACCACUGCUUGAAAGGUGCAGCAUCAACUUGAACGAUGGCACUCUUCACCAAGGUUUGAGUACGGACCAGCUCAUUGUUAGAUGCAUUGUACACCAC